CGAAAGCUGUUGCGGAGUUUAUUUGUGGUCCCAUGACAUCGUUUGGAGAAAAUUCGCGGAACUGACGUGGGUUAUUUGGUGGGUUUUGGUGUUCUAGUGUUGUGGAUAGGCUGAGAAGCCCGCCAUGCCUUGUUGGCUGGUUGCUAAUACCAUCCUCGAAAUAAGAAGAUGGUAGAUUAGCGGCAGGUGGUUUCCGGAGCCAAUAAACAGCGAUUUUCGAAAAUCUGGUACGAUUGAUUUUGGAGUUUUUG
Molecule: long non-coding RNA, 251 nt
Filed under: Ananas comosus (pineapple)
Lineage: Eukaryota; Viridiplantae; Streptophyta; Magnoliopsida; Poales; Bromeliaceae
Description: long non-coding RNA (ACOM_LNC029485)
Source: RNAcentral